AGAGUUUGAUCCUGGCUCAGGACGAACGUUGGCGGUGCGCUUCAUGCAUGCAAGUCGAGGGAGAAGCAACCGUUCCGUAAGGUUCGGUUGUGGAAACCGGCGAACGGGUGCGUAACACGUGAGAAACCUGCCCCAAAGACUGGGAUAGCCCAGGGAAACUUGGAUUAAUACCGGAUACUCUCUCCGGGCCGCAUGGCCUGGUGAGGAAAUGGUCCGCCGCUUUGGGAUGGUCUCGCGGCCUAUCAGGUAGUUGGUGAGGUAACGGCUCACCAAGCCGAAGACGGGUAGCUGGUCUGAGAGGACGAUCAGCCACACUGGAACUGAGACACGGUCCAGACUCCUACGGGAGGCAGCAGCAGGGAAUAUUGCACAAUGGGCGAAAGCCUGAUGCAGCGACACCGCGUGCGGGAUGACGGCCUUCGGGUUGUAAACCGCUUUCAGGAGGGAAGAAACUGACGGUACCUCCAGAAGAAGCUCCGGCCAACUACGUGCCAGCAGCCGCGGUAAUACGUAGGGAGCAAACGUUGUCCGGAUUUAUUGGGCGUAAAGGGCUCGUAGGCGGUUCAACAAGUCGGUCGUGAAAGCCCGGGGCUCAACCCCGGGACGCCGGUCGAAACUGUUGUGACUUGAGUUCGGUAGAGGUGAGUGGAAUUCUCGGUGUAGAGGUGAAAUUCGUAGAUAUCGGGAGGAAUACCGGUGGCGAAGGCGCCCCUCUGGACCGAUACUGACGCUGAGACGCGAAAGCGUGGGGAGCAAACAGGAUUAGAUACCCUGGUAGUCCACGCCGUAAACGAUGAACACUAGGUGUGGCGGACUGAUUCAUGUCUGCUGUGCCGUAGCUAACGCGUUAAGUUCUCCGCCUGGGGAGUACGCCGGCAACGGUAAAACUCAAAGGAAUUGACGGGGACCCGCACAAGCGGUGGAGCAUGUGGUUUAAUUCGAUGCAACGCGGAGAACCUUACCUGCCCCUUGACAUUGACAGAAUCCUGUAGAGAUACGGGAGUGCUUCGGCCUGGAAAACAGGUGCUGCAUGCUGUCGUCAGCUCGUGUCGUGAGAUGUUGGGUUAAGUCCCGCAACGAGCGCAACCCUUGUCCUUAGUUGCCAGCACUUCGGGUGGGAACUCUAGGGAGACUGCCGGUGACAAGCCGGAGGAAGGUGGGGACGACGUCAAGUCAUCAUGGCCCUUAUGGGCAGGGCUACACACGUGCUACAAUGGGGAGUACAGAGGGCCGCCAACCAGCGAUGGUGAGCCAAUCCCUUAAAGCUUCUCGUAGUCCGGAUCGGAGUCUGCAACUCGACUCCGUGAAGUCGGAAUCGCUAGUAAUCGCGAAUCAGAAUGUCGCGGUGAAUACGUUCCCGGGUCUUGUACACACCGCCCGUCACACCAUGGAAGUAGGUUGCACCAGAAGUAGGUAGCUUAACCCUCGGGAGGGCGCUUACCACGGUGUGGCUUAUGACUGGGGUGAAGUCGUAACAAGGUAGCC
This 1485-nucleotide ribosomal RNA is filed under the name uncultured actinomycete. RNAcentral describes it as "partial 16S ribosomal RNA". It matches the Rfam family "Bacterial small subunit ribosomal RNA". The record is from RNAcentral. Lineage: Bacteria; Bacillati; Actinomycetota; Actinomycetes; Actinomycetales.